GAUGAACGCUAGCGGCAGGCUUAACACAUGCAAGUCGAGGGGUAUAGGUUUUCGGACCUAGAGACCGGCGCACGGGUGCGUACGCGGAUGCAAACUUCCUUUUACAGAGGGAUAGCCCAGGGAAAUUUGGAUUAAUACCUCCAAGUAUUAUGAUUCGGCAUCGAGACAUUAUUAAAGUUCCAAAGGUUAAAGAUGAGCAUGCGUUCCAUUAGCUAGAUGGUAAGGUAACGGCUUACCAUGGCGACGAUGGGUAGGGGUUCUGAGAGGGAGAUCCCCCACACUGGUACUGAGACACGGACCAGACUCCUACGGGAGGCAGCAGUGAGGAAUAUUGGUCAAUGGGCGCAAGCCUGAACCAGCCAUGCCGCGUGCAGGAUGACGGUCCUAUGGAUUGUAAACUGCUUUUGUACAGGAAGAAACACUGGUUCGUGAACCAGCUUGACGGUACUGUAAGAAUAAGGAUCGGCUAACUCCGUGCCAGCAGCCGCGGUAA
Molecule: ribosomal RNA, 493 nt
Filed under: uncultured bacterium
Lineage: Bacteria
Description: partial 16S ribosomal RNA
Rfam family: Bacterial small subunit ribosomal RNA
Source: RNAcentral